This 460-nucleotide ribosomal RNA is filed under the name uncultured bacterium. Its description in RNAcentral is "partial 16S ribosomal RNA". It matches the Rfam family "Bacterial small subunit ribosomal RNA", at positions 338 to 795 of the family's 1533-position model. The record is from RNAcentral.
CCUACGGGAGGCAGCAGUGAGGAAUAUUGGUCAAUGGACGAGAGUCUGAACCAGCCAAGUAGCGUGAAGGAUGACUGCCCUAUGGGUUGUAAACUUCUUUUAUAUGGGAAUAAAAUGUUCCACGUGUGGGAUUUUGUAUGUACCAUAUGAAUAAGGAUCGGCUAACUCCGUGCCAGCAGCCGCGGUAAUACGGAGGAUCCGAGCGUUAUCCGGAUUUAUUGGGUUUAAAGGGAGCGUAGGUGGAUUGUUAAGUCAGAUGUGAAAGUUUGCGGCUCAACCGUAAAAUUGCAGUUGAAACUGGCAGUCGUGAGUACAGUAGAGGUGGGCGGAAUUCGUGGUGUAGCGGUGAAAUGCUUAGAGAUCACGAAGAACUCCGAUUGCGAAGGCAGCUCACUGGACUGCAACUGACACUGAGGCUCGAAAGUGUGGGUAUCAAACAGGAUUAGAUACCCUAGUAGUC